RNAcentral lists this long non-coding RNA (622 nucleotides) under Malus domestica (apple). RNAcentral's name for it is "long non-coding RNA (MDOM_LNC000697)". Lineage: Eukaryota; Viridiplantae; Streptophyta; Magnoliopsida; Rosales; Rosaceae. The record is from RNAcentral.
UCUUUCUCCUCAGCCCUUUCACCUCUACCAAAUCUCCUUCUACUCUCACUCUAUGAAAAAUAUAUUUUUAAUUUUUGUAUUUUAUUAUUUAUUUAUUUGAUCAUUGUUUCGUAAUUUUUUUUAGAACAAAUUAAGUAAUAAUAUUACAGGACCAAAAACAAAACAAAAAAUAUUUUUUUCAAUUUUAUGAACACUAAUAUUAUCACUAUUUCUUAAACUAAACACUGACUAUAUCUUAAACCGAACACCAGUACUAUCACUAUUUCUUACACUGAACACGAGUAUUAUCACUAUUUCGUAAACUAAACACUGACUAUUUAUUAAACGAACACUAGUAUUAUCAUUGUUUUGUAAACUAAAUACCAACUAUUUCUUAAAUGGAACACUAAACAUUGACUAUUUUUUAAACAGAACACUAGUAUUAUCACUAUUUUGUAAACUAAACACUGACUAAUUUUUAAAACGAACACUAAUUGUGACAACCCGUCCCUAAUUCUAUGUUUUUACAAAUUUUAAAAGCAUGAUUUUACGAAAAUGCCCUAAGAGGCGAGGGUAUUGACUUUCGUUGAUCAACGUAUAGUGAGGUGUAUGAAUUAAUCCUUUAGUAUUUUCCUGAAGUACU